This 34228-nucleotide long non-coding RNA is filed under the name Brassica napus (rape). RNAcentral describes it as "long non-coding RNA (BNAP_LNC010482)". The record is from RNAcentral. Lineage: Eukaryota; Viridiplantae; Streptophyta; Magnoliopsida; Brassicales; Brassicaceae.
GAGAGAGAGAGAGAGGUCGUGUUAAUCCCUCCGGAAUGUGGGGUUGACUUAGUGAGAGAUUCUGGAUUUUUCCGAGGGAGUAAUAAAUGUUCUUCCCUGUUUUUGCGUCGUGAUUACAUAUUUUGAGAUCUGGGCUCAUUAUUACAAUCACAGCAGAGAGAGAGAUAGAGAGAGAGAGAGAGAGAUUCUUCUUCUUCUUCUUCUUCUUAUUAUCCGAGGAGACUUAUUCUAUUUGUAUAUCUCCUGAGAGCAAGACUCAAGUUGCCUCAAGAUUAGCUUGGAAUCUGUUUUGGAUGAAUUCUUCUUGAGUAAUGUGUGAAGCAGAGAAGUUUAUAUACCACAAGAAGAAGCUCUUAUUAGAGAUGAAGGUUAAGUUUCUAGGAGACAGCAAGUUGAAGAACUCCUUGGUUUCCAAGUCUCGUAUGAGCCUUUGGAUGAUCCGUGCUAUCACCAUACUGUUGCUAUGGAGUUGUUGUGUUCAUCUGGUGGCGGUGGGAGGGAUGUGGGGACCUAGAUUGUUUAAAGGCUGGCCUUCUUGUUUCAACAGUCACCAUGAUCUCCCAAUGGCUUCACAGGAAAUGACUUCUCUUCCAAUUAAAAUAGCCCUCCCUCCUAAAAGUAAGCUAGCUUUGUUUUGCUUUCUGGUUAUGUUAGCUUUGUCUGCAACACUCUUGGAAUGUCUUAAAUUUUUGUUUUGACUCUCAGGGUUAUAUCAGAACAAUGGCUAUCUUAUGGUUUCUUGCAAUGGAGGACUCAACCAAAUGCGAGCUGCGGUAAAAGAUCACAACUAAUCUAUUUGUUUUGUCAGUGAAUCUUAUAUGACUUUUUGGACUCUGUUUGCUUUUCUUCAGAUAUGUGAUAUGGUGACUAUUGCAAGAUACAUGAAUGUCACACUUAUUGUCCCAGAGCUUGACAAGACCUCUUUUUGGAAUGAUCCUAGGUAUAAUUAUUAUUCCCCAUCCAUCUCAUUCAGAGCUUCUUUUACUUCUCUUAAAAGUUGUUGAUUGGUUUCUUAUGUGGGCAGUGAGUUCAAAGACAUAUUCGACGUGGAUCACUUCAUAACUUCUCUAAGGGAUGAGGUUCGUAUCCUCAAAGAGCUUCCUCCAAGGCUUAAGAGAAGGGUUGAGCUUGGCGUUUACCACACCAUGCCUCCUAUCAGCUGGUCCAACAUGUCCUACUACCAAGACCAGAUUCUUCCACUGGUGAAGAAGCAUAAGGUCUUACAUCUGAACAAGACCGACACUCGACUUGCUAAUAAUGAACUUCCUGUUGAGGUUCAGAAGCUGAGAUGCCGAGUAAACUUCAACGGGCUUAGGUUCACUCCAAAGAUUGAGGAACUAGGUAGAAGAGUGGUCAAGAUCCUGAGGGAGAAAGGUCCCUUUCUUGUUCUCCAUCUCAGAUACGAAAUGGACAUGCUUGCAUUCUCUGGUUGCUCUCAUGGUUGCAACCGCUACGAAGAGGAAGAACUCACAAGAAUGAGGUUAUAACAACAAAAACAUUUUAUCUUGUAUUAAAAAUUUCAUCGAGGUAUUGAUGUUUAUCACUCUUUUUUUUUUUUGAUUGGUUAGAUAUGCUUAUCCAUGGUGGAAAGAGAAGGUAAUAAACUCAGAGAUGAAGAGGAAAGAAGGUCUUUGCCCAUUGACUCCAGAAGAAACAGCUCUGACUCUAUCAGCCUUGGGGAUUGACCGUAAUGUUCAGAUUUACAUAGCUGCAGGAGAGAUAUACGGUGGUAAAAGGAGGCUAAAGGCUUUAACAGACGUCUUUCCAAAUGUGGUUAGUAGUGGUUAGUAGCUUAUCGUCUGAAAUAUUCACUCAUAGUGUCAGUCACUGAUGAAUCUUUGAUUAAAAAAAAAACAGGUGAGGAAAGAAACUCUGCUGGAUUCCUCUGAUUUGAGUUUUUGUAAGAACCACUCUUCACAAAUGGCUGCUCUUGAUUACCUUAUCUCGCUAGAGAGUGAUAUCUUCGUUCCUACUUAUUAUGGGAACAUGGCCAAAGUUGUGGAAGGUCAUCGCAGGUAAAUCAUUUGUUGCUAACAAUAAUGUUUCUUUCAUCAUUGGCUAAUGCACUUAAUCAUCAUCCUCACUUCCUCAGGUUCUUGGGGUUCAAGAAGACGAUUGAGCUAAACAGGAAGUUCUUGGUCAAUCUUAUAGAUGAAUACUACCAAGGAUUAGUGAGCUGGGAAGUGUUUUCGACCAGGGUGAAGGCCUUUCACGCUACAAGAAUGGGAGGUCCCAAGAAGCGGCUUGUGAUACCGAAUAAACCGAAAGAAGAAGACUACUUCUAUGCGAAUCCUUAUGAAUGUCUUCAGCUGUUACAUGAGAAUGAUAAUAGCAAUUCACUAGAUGAAACCAUAUGAUCAGAGACACCACCAUUGUCCUACAUUAAGAUUUGGCUGGGUGAUGCAGGACAUGGAUGGGUGGAUAAUGGAGUUUAUCUAUGGGGGGAUUAUAUCAAUCUUGAGGAUGAGACUUUUAAAGAGGUUAUGUAGGGUUCUUUGGUGUAUAGAGACAUCUGAAGAGCUUCCGUGGAUGUAGAAGAAAGGUUCUGAAGACUUGUCAUUUUGGCACCAUCACCUCCUCAUCCAUGGACCUGCAGUUUUGUAGCUGAAAAAUAAACAAUGCAGUGAAUAAUUAUGUUACACAUUAUUAUAGUUAUUUGAUUAAAUAAAUAACUGUUCUAUUUCUUAUCCAUUGAUGAAUAAAUUCAGAUGAAACGGUAUGAACUCAAAAAUUAACACCAAAGGGCAAAGACUCGAGGAAUAUAUAUAUGAUUUUAUUAUUGAAACAAAAAGCUCAGAGUAUAGAUUGUAUCGGUCUUAAAUAGAACUACACACCAUCACUAUUUAAAUAAACUCUGGCAACUUUAAAACGAACUGAAUAAUCACCGGAAAGUCAGAAAAAAAAAACAAAACGGGGAAGGAAAGAAGAUAGAUGAUAUAGGUUAAGCUAAUAACCAAAACUGCGGUGAAUUUUUUUUUUUAAUCUGAUGCUCAAGCUUUGGGGGCCGGGUUAAGCUCAUCCCAAGCUUCAAUCCAGGUGACCAUAGCAUCAGCAAGCUUGUCAAAGUAAGGAUCAAUGGCGCUAAGCUUCUCCUUCACCAUCUUGGACAGUUCAAUGUAGCAUUGUUGAACCGUCACAGCUUCUUUGGAGAGCUUUGCGCUCUGGAAGAAAGGAAUGAUGUCCUCCUGCCAGAAGAUUCCCUUGUAUUCCUUCUUCAAGUUCACAAAUGGGUUGCUUGCCUUGCUGUGGUAAAUGUAGGGAAGACCUGUCUUCACUCCUAAUCCCAAAUGGUCACAGAUCACCUAAAGAACAGACCCAUAAAAGACCAGUAAGUAUUUUCAAAUACAGUCCAAGACAUUGGCGGAUGGGGGGAGUAAGUACCUUGACACACCAACCAGCCCACAUAUCGUCGUAGCGACCAAUAGGCUGACCAUCACCCAUGAGACCAAAGUACAUAGCCGGACCGAUGAGAUCACGGUCAAAGGCUAAGUUCAUACCACACAUUGGGAAAAGUGUUCCCUUUGGGAUGGUCAUUACAGCAUCCACAUACCUUCACAGUAAUGCCAUUUAAGCAUAUUGUUAGCUAAUAAAGAUUCAAGUAAAAAUGUUGAAAGAGGAUGUUAAAGUAGUACCUUGUGUUCCUUUCUUUAGGCUUGACGAGUUGGGUCGGGGCAUCGUAAUCAGGGAUGUUGAGCCAGAGACCGUGGGAAACAGCAGUGGAAACACCCUCACGGAGACUGAAAGGGUAUCCACGGACGAAGUCAGCACCUUCACGGUAGGGAUCGUACAAUGUGUUGAAGAAAAAGGGAGAGGAUGGGCAGAGAAGGUUCUUGAUGUGUUGCUCAAGUGCGUUCACAGCUUUCCCAGCUGGAUCCUUAGCAACCUAUAACACAUGACAACAACAACAACAACAACAAAAAAAAAUAUAAAAAUAAAGAAAUGAUUAUUCAAAUGCAGCCAAAGCUAGAAGGAAAAAAAGAAGACUUUACACGUGAUUAAACCAACACACUAUGAAAGCAACAUCAAUACUAGAAUCAUGGUGUAACUGAAAACUCAAUUCCUUAAACAGGGGAAUUAAAAGUUUUGGACUUUUCUUUGCCUUUGUAACAACGAUGACAUGCAAGAACCUUGUGUGACAUAACAUAGAUAUAUUGGUCCAACAACACUGUCAUCACUAAAAAUACAUACACAUAAGAGAUCAUGACCGAUUACAAUCAGUGAUCAACGAAACUGAACGAAACAAUUGCAAUUCCGAAAAAAAAAACAGAUCAAGAACCAUCCAAGCAGAAGAAUGUAUAGAUCUAGGUCAAAACAGUGUUUAAUCUACCGACAUUGUAACCAGGCCUUGCGUAGACACAACACAAUCCUUAACACACACAACAUGAAACAGAGAUCUAUAGCAUUCAGACAAAACAGAACGACCAAAAAAAAAAAAAAAAGGAGCAAACUUUGAGAAUUUGAAGGAAACUUACGAAGCAAUCGUCGUCGAUUGUGAAGAUGUAUUUCUUCUUAGACACCAUGUAGCCGAAGCAGCGACAAGCAGAGUCCUUGAAGGAAAUGCAGGAAGCUUUGGGACCGAGGAUACGGUUAAUGUCGUUCCUGUUGUAAAGCUCGUAAUCAAACCCUUCGGGAACAGCAAUGGUCUUGGAAGGAUCUCCGUCCUGGACGAUGAUGAGAUGGUAAGGCUGGAGAAAAGGUCUCCACAUCUCGAGGAAAUCGAGGUUACGGAUGGUGGGGAUCACGAUGUCGAGCUCAUCCUUCAGCAACGCAGUGUGGUUCAACGGGAUUCCAACGGUAUUCGCCGGUUCAACCAUGAUUCGAUUGAUUGAGAACUGGAGAAGAGAGAGAGAGAGAGGUUUGAUAUUGUGAUGAACUCGAAGGAGAAGACCGUCGAGUGAUUUUUAUAACAGAUCCGGCACGUGCGAGUUAUUUUGUGUGAGGUUUGACACGUGGUCGAUUAACACUUGUUCCAACUGGUCAAUAGAAGUUUUAUGGUGAGAAAGUGAAAGACUUUCUAUUCCGUGGGAGGCAAUUCUUUUUAUUCGGAAUCGCAAAUAUUAAUUUGUGUUAUUUUUAUUUUUUAUUUUCACAAAAUUAAUUUGUGUUAUUGGCUCUUAAUUCAUUGAUUACCUCUUAAUUAAUUCCAGGCGUUUAUCAUCUCCUCUUAAAAAACAAAUAUUCAGCAAAUUAAUAUAAAUUAUUAUCCAUAAUUUAAAAAUAUUAUUCAGUUCUUAUAGAACUAGAUUCCAAAACAACUUGUUUAUUAUUGAGUCCUUAGACGUGUACUUAUACAAGGUAGUCAAGCUUAAAGAUAACUCCUAAAUUAUAGGAGAUAAGCACAAGCCUAUGUUUAUCUAAACCAUAUACUUAUCCUAAUACUCCCCCCUCAAGUUGGAGUGUGAAGGUUAGUCAAACCCAACUUGGACGAUAACUCUUCAAAUUUUGCGCGCCCAAGAGCCUUUGUUAAAAUGUCUGCAACCUGAGAAUGUGUUGAGACAUGAAUUGUCUCAAUAGACUUAGCUUUGACAGCAUCUCUCACAGCGUGGCAAUCAUUCUCCACAUGUUUCGUGCGCUCGUGAAACACCGGGUUCGCAGCUAUGUGGAUUGCGGCUUUGCUGUCACAAAAGAAACGCGAUGGUCCAGGUUGUUUGAUACCCAAUCCUUCAAGAAGAUGUCACAGCCAUUUUAUUUCUUUAAGUGUAUCAGACAUGGCUCUGUAUUCUGCUUCAGCUGAAGAGUGCGAGACCGUGUCCUGCUUCUUUGUUUUCCAAGAAAUCGGUGAACCUCCAAGCAUGACGACAUAAGCGCUCAAGGAUCGACGAGAUGCAGGACACGACGACCAGUCAGCAUCGCAGUAUACAGUGAGAGAGAGAGAUCAGGGUCCGACUUGAGCAAAAUGCCUUGGCCAAUAGACCCCUUCAAGUACCGAACCACACGAAGUGCGGCGUCCCAAUGAGCUUCUUUUGGGACUUGCAUGAACUGUGUCAAGAUAUGAACAGCAUAGCUCAGUUCAGGUCGUGUGUGACAAAGAUAGAGGAGACGACCAACUAGACGACGAUACUGCUUUGGAUUUGCGAGCACCGGACUGUCAAGUUUUGGAUUAGCAAGUUGAUGGCCUUGUUCCAGUGGCGUAGCUGCAGGCUUACAGCCUAGAUUGCCUGUUUCUGAGACGAUGUCGAGAGUGUACUUGCGUUGCGAGACAAAGAAACCUUCUGGUCCUCGACUCACUUCAAGUCCUCCUUCAUAGAAAAGCAUCGACUUAGGUAGUCUUUAAACUUCUGCAACAUAUAGUUGUUGUUACCACAGAUCAGAAGAUCGUCAACGUAGAUGAGAACGUGCAUCUCGAUUCCAUUCUUGACAUAGGAGAAGAGAGAGUAGUCAUCAUAUGACUGGAUGAAACCAAAAUGAAGUAGAGAGUCAGAGAGCUUUUUAAACCAACACCUUGGAGCCUGCUUUAGUCCAUAGAGAGACUUUCGAAGACGACAGACUUUCCCUGGGUGUGUGUGACGAAAACCAAGAGUAAGAAGGAUAUAGAUUUCUUCGUCGAGAUCGCCGUGUAAGAACGCGUUGUUGAUGUCCAUUUGAAAAACUUCCCAGUUCUUUGUAGCAACUAGUCUGAGAAGAGACCGGAUCGUGGUCAUUUUGACCACAGGAGCGAAGGUGUCUGAGUAAUCCUCACCCUCGACUUGCUUACUGCCAUUAACGACGAGACGUGAUUUGUGUCUCUUGACGGUACCGUCAGCAUUAUACUUGAUGCGAUAAACCCACUGACUAGGAAUUGCGACCUUGCCGGGAGGGAGUGUAACAAUGUCCCAAGUGUGUUGCUCUUCUAGAGCAUCAACUUCCUCAAACAUCGAGUCAUUCCAGACAUCUUCCAGAGCUGCCUCAGCAAAGUGUUUUGGUUCAACUCCAGCGGUGAUAGCAGCGAGAAAAACUUGCUGUCCUGGAGAGAAGUUAGAGUCUGAAAUAAAUUCUGAAAGAGGGUAAAGUGUUGUACCUGAGGCCGUAGACGAGGACUGUGACAGGAGAGGAGAAGCGUGAUGGGUAUGUAGAACUUGAAUGUUGUAGGUAACGUAGUCUUUCAGUUUGACUGACGGAGCACACUCCCUUUGUCCUCGUCGAGUCGUAUCAGGUAAAGAGACUGACGUUGAAGCUGCAGGUGGUGAUGUCUGAGCUGUGACUGUUUCUGCUCCCGAAACAAAGGAAGCAGGUGCAGACUGUGCAGCUACAGGAGUUUCAGCCGGAGAGGACGUUGUCGUAUCUGUCGGAGAGGGUGAAGGAACUAAUGGAGGCUGAUCAAUUGGACUCCCCCUGUCUGCAACAGUCUGAUGUACAGCCCAAUCAUGGUCGGGGAUAGAAAUUGCAGGUUGUGGUGGUAUCGAUUGUUUCUCAGAGUAGGGGAAGAUAUCUUCCCGAAAUACCACGUCUCUUGAGGGAAAGAUAUCUUCCCGAAAUACCACGUCUCUUGAAAUAGUUAUUUCUUCUGUUUCCAUGUCAAACACUUUCCAGCCCUUUUUCCCAAGUACAUAGCCAAGAAACACACACACUCGACUUCUUGGAACGAACUUAUCCUUUGUCCUCGACGUUAAGUGUACGUGAAAAGCUGAACCAAAUGCACGAAGCUGACCAUAAUCUGGUUUGUGACCGUGAAGGGUUUCAUAGGGAAUGCAUCCUUGGCGGAGCUUAGAUGGGGUCCGAUUAAUGAGAUACGCCGCAGUGAGAAUUGCUUCACCCCAAAAUCUUAUCGGUAGAGAAGCUUGAAACAGCAGAGCCCUGGCAACAUUUAAGAUAUGCCUAUGCUUUCUUUCGACGCGUCCAUUUUGCUGAGGCGUUGAGACACAAGAGGUUUGAUGAAUAAUGCCAAGUUCUCGAAAGUGGUCAGAGAGGCACAUGAACUCUGUUCCGUUGUCACUGCGAACGAUCUUAACUGAUUUGUUGAAUUGCUUGUCAGCGUAUGUGAUGAAGUUUUUCAGAACUGUUUGUACCUCAGACUUUGCGAGCAUUAAGUAAGUCCACACUGCUCGUGAAUGAUUAUCAACAAUAGUGAGAAAAUAAACAGCUCCACAAGUAGAAGGAACGCGAUAUGGUCCCCAAACAUCACAGUGGAUAAGUGCAAAAAUCUCAUUUGAAUUAUUAUUGCUAUCAGAAAACACCUCUCUGGUUUGUUUGGAUAGAAAACAAAUGUCGCAAUGACGGGAACUAAUAGAACUAGAAGAAACAGAAAGCAUAGGUAAAGCCGAAACAUCAGUAAAACUUGGGUGUCCUAGACGUUGGUGCCAGAGAGCUUGAUCCGCAGAGACGUUGACACUGUGAACUUUAGCCGUGGCGACCGCUGUCAGAAAGUAUACCCCAUCACGCUCUUCACCUCUUCCAAUCAAAGUCCUCAAAAAACGGUCCUGCAAUACAUAAACCGUAUCAGUAAAGGUUGCAAAACAUCCAAUUUGCUUCAGAAUUUUAGAAACUGAUAUAAGCGUGCAGUUCAAUGAAGGCACAAGCAACAUAUUUUUCAGUGAGACUUUUUCUGAUAGAGGAAAAUCGCCCAUGCUGACAGCGAAUGUUUUAUUGCCGUCAGCAAACCCAACAGAGCACGGUGAUAUAGAGACGAUGUUAAUCAGCAAAGAGCUGUCCCCAGUCAUGUGGUGAGAAGCCCCUGUGUCGAGGAUAACAUCACCGUAUUGUUUCUUACCAGAAAGCUUGUCACUGGUGUUGGAUUUUUCGUGAAUCAUUUGAGAGAGAACACGCCAUUGGUCUUGUGUGAAAUCAGGAAAUACAGACGAGUUCGCACUAGUAGCAUGAGCCGAUGCAUUCACAGCUCUGCCACCACCACGUCCUCCCCCAUGACCUGUUCCUUUGCCACGAGAACUCUGCUUGUUGCGUUCAGUCCACCAGUCUGGAUAUCCAACGAGCUGCCAACAGUCUCGUUUUUCGUAGCCAGUGCGACCACAGUGAGAGCACAGCAUUGAUUUAUCUCGAGUGCGAAGAAUUGUAUCAGGUCUGGGUGUAGAUUGAUUGUUUGAUCUGGUGGUGACAUCCGUAGUAGUUGAUGACGCAUCUUGUUGUUGAGUGCCGCGAGUAACAAGCCCCAAAGCAUCAUGUUGGUUCUCGCGACUGCGAGCAGACGCAAUCCUCUGUUUCUCGCGAAUUGCUUUUGAGUAGACUUCCUCCAGAGUUGGCAAUGGAUCAAGCCCGAUGAUAGUUGUGCAAAGGUUGCCAUAUCGGACAUCAUCGAGUCCUAGCAGGAAGUCGUGAACUUUGUCUUCAUCUCUUUCUUUCGACAAAGUGUCUGCGACUCCGCAUGCACAAGCCGGUAGUGGCCUGAGAAGAAAGUAUUCUUCCCACAACGAGCUUAACUUGCCAAAGUAUUGAAGAACAGACUGACCAUCUUGGCGACAUGUAGAGAUUUGUCCUUUGAGCUGGUGAAGACGAACUUUGUUGUGAACAGAGAACCGCUGCUUGAGAUUGCUCCAUAAUUGAGAAGAAUCAGCUAUGAAUGUCACUGUCGAUAUGACCUUCGGUGCAAUAGAAACUCGAAUCCAGCCUACGAUCAUGGAGUUUACUGUCAUCCAAUUCUCGUAGUCAGCAUGAUCAGACGUCGGCUUUUUGAUAGUGCCAUUGAUAAACCCUGAUUUGCGUUUGGCCUGCAGAGUGUUGAGCAUCUCAGUAGACCAUUCAUUGUAAUUGUCACCGGAGAGAAGCACCGAUGUAAUGAGGGCUCCUGGAUUGUCAGAGUUAGACAAGGUGUAAGGGGAAAUCGGAGGAACAACAGAAACUUCCAUCGUGACUCAAGCACAGCACCUGUGCGUGUCUCGGCUUAGUUUGCCUUGAGACUCUAAAAAAAAAAUCAGGAUAGCUCUGAUACCAUGUAGAACUAGAUACCAAAACAACUUGUUUAUUAUUGAGUCCUUAGACGUGUACUUAUACAAGGUAGUCAAGCUUAAAGAUAACUCCUAAACUAUAGGAGAUAAGCACAAGAUAAGCACAAGCCUAUGUUUAUCUAAACCAUAUACUUAUCCUAAUAGUUCUUAAAUUAAUUUUACUAGAUAUAUAAACUAUAAACUUGUAUACAUUCUUCAUAAAUUUUUUUAUGUAAUUCACAAAGAUUUUUUUUUUUAAAAUCAAAAAUUUUAAUGAUAGAAAUCAAAAGAUUACGAUUUAUUUUUAUUUUGGUACAAUACUUUAUUGUGAAUUUUAUCAGCAGUUACAUUUAGAUAUAUUAUUUUUAGAUUUGUAUGUGCUUAUUACAUCUUUAGUUUAAAGUUUUGUCUCAAGGAAAUUACUUUUCACCUUUGAAACUUUCAGAAAUAAAACUAUUUUAAUCUAAAAUCAGUUCAUUUAUAAGAUUAUAAUUAUAAACAUCAAAUUUAUCAGAAACAAACGUAUAAGAUAAUCAUAAUAUACAAUACUAUGAGAAUGAAUGAUUGAUUAUUAGUUGCUAUCGUAAUUGUGAUAGAACAUAUUUUGUUUUGUUUAAAUUGAAGUAUAUUUAUUUGAAGUGCAUUGUAUUAGUUUUUUAAUACUUCUAUCCGUUUGAAAAUUUAGAAUAAACGAAAAGUUAAAAUAUUAGGUUUACCUAAUGCUAUAAAAGGACAUCAAUUUAAUUCAUUUGUGUUGCUAAUUGUAUCUAGCUUGACUAGUUACAUUAACAUUAAUUGUAUCUAUGUGAAUUAAAUGAUGGUAGAUAUAAAACCGAACAAGAUUUUUAUUAUUUUGAGUAGAGUGUAAUAUCAAUCCCCUAUAUAUUAUUUGUGAAACAUUACAACUUCUUUUUGUAGCCACAUGUCAUCACUACGAUGAUUCCUAGAAUUAUUAGAGAAAUAGGUUGGUCCAUCUAAUUAUAUAAUAAGCUUUUUAUUAAACUAACCAUAAAUUCAUUAUUAAUGUCAUUUAUUAUUUCCUUAAAUAAAGAUUAUGGAAUUGCCUAAUGUGGGUAGAGUAUAUAUGAUAAUUAAUGAUUUUGAAUAAUAAAGAUCUGAUAAAAAAAAUGUAUCUUCUAUCAAAUUUGUUUAAUUUAAAACUAUUAAAAUAAUUUUUAAAAAACACAAUACCCAUAUUAUAAAAAUUUAGAUUUUUUAGUAUAUUUUAUAUUUUGAAUUUUUAAAAAUGACUAUAAAUUACUAAAACUGUUAAAAGUCUCACAUUCAAAUUUUGCGAUCCAUGGUUUAAAAUUUUUGUUAUGACAAAAUACAAAUGAUUACAAAAUCAUAUAAGUAAAAGUCUAAUUUAAUUAAUCAUUAAAAUUUAAAAUAUAUAUGUAUAUAUAUCAUUCUAAAUUAAACUAUAAACCAUAUUGAAUAAAUAAAUAUUUUAGUUUCAAAAUUUACUUUGAAUAAUUUUUUUUGAUAAAAGUUUUGAACUAACAUUGAUAAAUUUUUUUAAAUUAUCAAUUACUAAAAUUAUUAAUCCCACAAUGAAAAUUUUGUUAUCAGUAAUUUAAAGUUUUUGCUAUUAAAAAUACACAUGAUAAAAAAAAACAUAUGAGUAGAAAACAUCAUUUAAAAAAAAUAAAAAAAAUAAUAGACAUUAAUAUUAAAAAUAUACUAUGUAUGUUAAUAUCAUUUAAAUUUAAUUAAAUAUCCUAUCAAAUUUUUUUUAAAAAAUGUUUGGAUUAAUAAAAUUGAUUUAUACGUUCGCACCAAUUUAAUUAUAUAUGUGAUAGUUACUGACUUUUAAUUAUUCAAUAUAUAUUUAUUAUUUCAUAAUAUGUAAGAACAUAUAAUACAUAAAAUAAUUUAUAUAUAUAAUGUUUAUCCCGCGCAAGGUGCGGAUCUUAAUCUAGUAAAUGUGUUAAUUAGCAUGCAAUUAGGCUUUAUAUACGUAAAAUAAUUAUUUUAGAACUAUAUUCUGCUUUGCGGUUAAAUGAAGGUAUAUUUGCAUAUGGGAAUCUGUAUAUCCUUUAAGUAUCUUUAAGUUGAAAUAUUUACACAAUAAGACACUUUUACACUUAUAAAUAACACUCUAAGACACUUUGUGAAAAUAUCUCCUUUAAGUUUAACAUUCGUUUUUCAGUUUUAGUCAAAAUUUGGUAUAUGAUAUUUGAAAUACAACCAUAACGAAAUUAUACAUACAGUAAUUGUGCACUAAUUCUUAUUCAACAUUAUGAUCGUCUUAUACAGCUCCAAAUAUUUUAUUGGAUACAAUAUUAUCAACUAGCAUAAAUUACUUAUUUCUACAUGUACAAAAUCAUUAAAAAUCAAUGGAAUUCGAUUUAUAAUUAUAUACGUCGUGGGCGGAUCAUGCCUCGUAAAAAUUAAACCAGAAAACACUAUAAGAAUGUAUAAUAAUCAUAGAUUAACAUUCAUAUCCAAAAAUGUAUAAUAAUUAUAUUUAGGAGGUGUUAUUCAAUCAAUGGAAUGAAAUUAAUUAUCAAUGUUUUAACAUUGCAACCCAACAAAUUUUUAAAAUUAGUUUAAAUUGGUAAAUUAAAUCUUAUUGAGAGUUAUUGGUUGAUGUAGUUUAAUGGAUUUGGAAAUCCAAACUAAAUCGAAUGUUAUUAGUUGUAUGAUUUAAAUUCAUACUGAAAUCAUGUGUUAUUGAUUUCAUGAUUAAUAAAUUGUAAUUUAAAUCAAAUGUUAUUCAAUCAUACCGAUUUACUAUUAAAUUUGAUUUCAUUGAUUUGUAUAGAUUUCUUCGUUAAAAAUACAAAAACUCAAAUCUUAAGAAAAACCUUCGGAUUUGUAAGUAGUCAGCUCUGUUGUCUUGGUAGACAUAAAGUCAACCAUCUUCUUGAUCGUAUUUUCGUUAGUGAAGACUCGACAUCCCCUAGAGCUAGCUAUUUUGAGGAAAAUUAUUUCUAAGAAGCAGUUAGCAACGACAGAAAAAUUGGUUAGAAACAUGCAAUACAUGGAUCUACGCCAAGGCAGGACACGCCCAACCAAGCAAAAAAUCUUGUCCACAGCUUCUUGUGAAUAGCUUGGGUCUCUUCUUCAAAUGUUUUCUCGUUCUCAUCUGAACCUUCAUUUUUCUUCUCAACACUACCAGAGCUAAAACAUCUCUUGUAGAAGAAGGAUAAAGAGUAAACGAUACACUUAUUCUGAUGGUCUUAUAGAACUCCAAACCUCUUUGAACAUCAUCAUAUGUUAGUGCAGAAUGCAAGUAUGAAUUAAAACAUCAUUGUCCUAUUUUUUGAAAUUUUCUCAAAAUCUAUGUGUUGAACCCUAUAAUCUUUAGAGUUGUUUUAAAAUUUUUAACCACAUUCUACAUUUAUAUUAAUGUAUUUUAAGCUCUUUUCAUGGUAUAAGGGAAUCGUUAUAAUUUUUGUAUCAAUUAAUUUAGUAAAAGUUCAUAAUACUCCCUAAAUCGAUGGAAUAACCAAUUAUAAAAUAACUAUUUUCUUGAAAAGCGGGGACAAAAAAGGCUCCAAAACCUCUUUGAACAUCUUCACAUGUUAUUGCAGGAUGCAACUAUGCAUUAAAAUAAUAUUGUCGUAUUUUUUGAAAUUUUCUCAAAAUCCAUGUGUAAAACCCCUACAAAAAUAUUGAGUUUUUGGUGACUACUUUAUAUACUUGAAGCCUAUAAUCUUUAGUGUUGUUUAAAAAUUUUAACCAUGUUCAACAUUUGUAUUAAUGUAUGAUCAACUAUUUUUUCAUGGUAAAUGAGCAUAGUUCAAUUGUUUUUAUAAUUUAAUUUAGUAAAACUUCAUAUACUCCUUAAAUUAGGGGACUAACCAUUAUAAAAUCGAUAUUAUCAAGAGAAAUAGAUAAAAAAAAUGUUCCAAACCUCUUUGACCAUCAUCAUAUAUUAGUACAAGAUGCAACUAUGCAUUAAAACAAUAUUGUCAUAUUUUUUUUAAAUUUUGUCAAAAUCUAUGUGUUAGUCCUUACCAAAAUAUUGAGUUUUUGGUAAAUACUUUAUAUACAGAAACCUAUAAUCUUUGUGGUUGUUUUAAAAUUUAUAACCAUAUUCUACAUUAGUAUAUAGUGUAUGCUAAACACUNNNNNNNNNNNNNNNNNNNNNNNNNNNNNNNNCUCAAUUGUUUUUAUAAAUUAAUUUAGUAAAACUUCAUAUACUCUCUAAAUUAGUGGAGUAACCAUUAUAAAAUUGCUAUUUUCUUAAAAAACGGAGACAACAAAGACUAUAUUCCUCUUUGAAUAUAAUCAUAUGUUAGUACAUGAUGCAAAUAUGCAUUAAAACAAUAUUUUAAUAUUUUUUGAAAUUUUGUCAAAAUCCAUGUGUUUAACCCCUACGAAAAUAUUGAGUUUUUGUUAAAUGUUUAAUAUAUUGAAGCAUAUAAUCUUUAGUGUUGUUUUAAAAUUUCGAACCACAUUCUACAUUUUUAUUAAUGUAUUCUAAUCUCUUUUUCAUGGUAUAUGUGAAUCAUUAUAACUUUUUUAUCAAUUAAUUUAGUAAAACUUCAUAAUACUCCCUAAAUCGAUGGACUAACUAUUAUAAAAUCGCUAUUCUCUAAAGAAAUGGAGACAACAAAGGUUCCAAACCUCUUUGAACAUCAUAAUAUAUUAGUCCAUGAUGCAACUAUGCAUUAAAACAAUAUAUUCGUACUUUUUGAAAUUUUCUCAAAAUCCAUGUGUUAUACCCUACGAAAAUAUUGAGUUUUUGGUAAAUGUUUUAUAUACUGAAGCAUAUAAUCUUUAGUGUUGUUUUAAAAUUUCGAACCACAUUCUACAUUUGUAUUACUUUAUUCUAAGCUCUUUUUCACGGUAUAUGAGAAUCGUUAUAACUUUUUUAUCAAUUAAUUUAGUAAAACUUCAUAAUACUCCCUAAAUCGAUGGAAUAACCACUAUAAAAUCACUAUCUUCUUGAAAAAUGGAGACAGCAAAGGCUCCAAACCUCUUUGAACAUCAUCAUAUGUUUGUGAAGGAUGCAACUAUGCAUUAAAACAAUAUUGUCGUAUUUUUUGAAAUUUUCUCAAAAUCCAUGGGCUAACCCCUACAAAAAUAUUGAGUUUUUGGUAAAUACUUUAUAUACUGAAGCCUAUAAUCUUUAGUGUUGUUUUAAAAUUUCUAACCAUAUUAUAAAUUUUUAUUAAUGUAUGCUAAACUCUUUUUCAUGGUAAAUGAGCAUCGUUCAAAUGUUUUUAUCAAUUAAUUUAGUAAAACUUCAUAAUACUCCCUAAAUCGAUGGAAUAACCACUAUAAAAUUAUUAUUUUCUUGAUAAACGGAGAGGACAAAGGCUCCAAACCUCUUUGAACAUCAUCAUAUGUUAGUGCAGGAUGCAACUAUGCAUUAAAACAAUAUUGUCAUUUUUUUUGAAAUUUUCUCAAAAUCUAUGUGUUAACACACCUACGUAAAUAUUGAGUUUUUGGUAAAUGUUUUAUAUACUGAAGCAUAUAAUCUUUAGUGUUGUUUUAAAAUUUCGAACCACAUUCUACAUUUGUAUUAAUGUAUUCUAAGCUUUUUUAAUGGUAUAUGGGAAUCAUUAUAACUUUUUAUCAAUUAAUUUAGCAAAACUUCAUAAUACAUCAUGAAUCGAUGGAAUAACCACUAUUAAAUCACUAUUUUCUGGAAAAACGGAGACAACAAAGGCUCCAAACCUCUUUGAAUAUCAUCAUAUGAUUGUGCAGUAUGCAACUAUGCAUUAAAACAAUAUUUUUGUAUUUUUUGAAAUUUUCUCAAAAUCUAUGUGUUAACCCCUACGAAAAUAUUGAGUCUUUGGUAAAUAUUUUAUAUACUGAAGCUUGUAAUCUUUAGUGUUGUUUUAAAAAUUCGAGCCAUAUUAUACAUUUGUAUUAAUGUAUUCUAAUCUCUUUUUCAUUGUAUAUGAGAAUCGUUAUAACUUCUUUAUCAAUUAAUUUAGUAAAACUUUAUAAUACUCCAUAACCAUCAUAAAAUCGCUAUUCUCUAAAGAAAUGGAGACAACAAAGGUUCCAAACCUCUUUGAACAUCAUAAUAUAUUAGUGCAUGAUGCAACUAUGCAUUAAAACAAUGUUGUCGUACUUUUUGAAAUUUUCUCAAAAUCCAUGUGUUAACCCCCUACGAAAAUAUUGAGUUUUUGGUAAAUGUUUUAUAUACUGAAGCAUAUAUUCUUUAGUGUUGUUUUAAAAUUUUGAACCACAUUCUACAUUUGUAUUACUUUAUUCUAAGCUCUUUUUCAUGGUAUAUGGGAAUCGUUAUAACUUUUUUAUCAAUUAAUUUAGUAAAAAUUCAUAAUACUCCCUAAAUCGAUGGAAUUACCACUAUAAAAUCACUAUCUUCUUGAAAAAUGGAGACAGCAAAGGCUCCAAACCUCUUUGAACAUCAUCAUAUGUUUGUGACGGAUGCAACUAUGCAUUAAAACAAUAUUGUCUUUUUUUUUGAAAUUUUCUCAAAAUCCUAACCUCCUACGAAAAUAUUGAGUUUUUGGUAAAUGUUUUAUAUACUGAAGCAUAUAAUCUUUAGUACUGUUUUAAAAUUUCAAACCACAUUCUACAAUUGUAUUAAUGUAUUCUAAGCUCUUUUUCAUGGUAUAUGAGAAUCGUUAUAACUUUUUUAUCAAUUAAUUUAGUAAAACUUCAUAAUACAUCAUAAAUCGAUGGAAUAACCACAGUAAAAUCACUAUUUUCUUGAAAAACGGAGUCAACAAAGGCUCCAAACCUCUUUGAACAUCAUCAUAUGUUUGUGCAGGAUGCAACUAUGCAUUAAAACAAUAUUGUCUUAUUUUUUGAAAUUUUCUCAAAAUCUAUGGGUUAACACCCCUACGAAAAUAUUGAGUUUUUGGUAAAUGUUUUAUAUACUGAAGCAUAUAAUCUUUAGUGUUGUUUUAAAAUUUCGAACCACAUUCUACAUUUGUAUUAAUGUAUUCUAAGCUCUUUUUAAUGGUAGAUGGGAAUCAUUAUAACUUUUUAUCAAUUACUUUAGCAAAACUUCAUAAUACAUCAUAAAUCGAUGGAAUAACCACUAUUAAAUCACUAUUUUCUUAAAAAACGGAGACAACAAAGGCUCCAAACCUCUUUGAACAUCAUCAUAUGUUUGUGCAGUAUGCAACUAUGCAUUAAAACAAUAUUUUCGUAUUUUUUGAAAUUUUCUCAAAAUCUAUGUGUUAACCCCUACGAAAAUAUUGAGUUUUUGGUAAAUAUUUUAUAUACUGAAGCCUAUAAUCUUUAGUGUUGUUUUAAAAUUUCUAGUCAUAUUAUACAUUUGUAUUAAUGUAUUCUAAGCUCUUUUUCAUAGUAUAUGGGAAUCGUUAUAACUUCUUUAUCAAUUAAUUUAGUAAAACUUUAUAAUACUCCAUAAAUCGAUGGACUAACCAUCAUAAAAUCGCUAUUCUCUAAAGAAAUGGAGACAACAAAGGCUCCAUACCUCUUUGACCAUCAUCAUAUAUUAGUACAAGAUGCAACUAUGCAUUAAAACAAUAUUGUCAUAUUUUUUUAAAUUUUGUCAAAAUCUAUGUAUUAGUCCUUACGAAAAUAUUGAGUUUUUGGUAAAUACUUUAUAUACUGAAACCUAUAAUCUUUGUGGUUGUUUUAAAAUUUAUAACCAUAUUCUACAUUAGUAUUAGUGUAUGCUCAACUAUGCACUCUUUUUCAUGGUAAAUGAACAUCGUUCAAUUUUUUUUAUAAAUUAAUUUAGUAAAACUUCAUAUACUCUCUAAAUUAGUGGAGUAACCGUUAUAAAAUCGCUAUUUUAUUGAAAAACGGAGACAACAAAGACUAUAUUCCUCUUUGAAUAUAAUCAUAUGUUAGUACAUGAUGCAAAUUUGCAUUAAAACAAUAUUUUCAUAUUUUUUGAAAUUUUCUCAAAAUCUAUGUGCUAACCCCUACGAAAAUAUUGAGUUUUUGGUAAAUGUUUUAUAUACUGAAGCCUAUAAUCUUUAGUGUUGUUUUAAAAUUUCUAACCACAUUCUACAUUUGUAUUAAUGUAUUUUAAGCUCUUUUCAUGGUAUAAGGGAAUCGUUAUAACUUUUUUAUCAAUUACUUUAGUAAAACUUCAUAAUACUCCCUAAAUCGAUGGAAUAACCGCUAUAAAAUCACUAUUUGCUUUUAAAACGGAGACAACAAAGGCUCCAAACCUUUUUGAACAUCAUCAUACGUUACUAGAGGAUGCAACUAUGCAUUAAAAAAAUAUUGUCGUAUUUUUUGAAAUUUUCUCAAAAUCUAUGUGCUAACCCCUACGAAAAUAUUGAGUUUUUGGUAAAUGUUUUAUAUACUGAAGCCUAUAAUCUUUAGUGUUGUUUUAAAAUUUCUAACCACAUUCUACAUUUGUAUUAAUGUAUUUUAAGCUCUUUUCAUGGUAUAAGGGAAUCGUUAUAACUUUUUUAUCAAUUACUUUAGUAAAACUUCAUAAUACUCCCUAAAUCGAUGGAAUAACCGCUAUAAAAUCACUAUUUGCUUUUAAAACGGAGACAACAAAGGCUCCAAACCUUUUUGAACAUCAUCAUACGUUACUAGAGGAUGCAACUAUGCAUUAAAAAAAUAUUGUCGUAUUUUUUGAAAUUUUCUCAAAAUCUAUGUGCUAACCCCUACGAAAAUAUUGAGUUUUUGGUAAAUGUUUUAUAUACUGAAGCCUAUAAUCUUUAGUGUUGUUUUAAAAUUUCUAACCACAUUCUACAUUUGUAUUAAUGUAUUUUAAGCUCUUUUCAUGGUAUAAGGGAAUCGUUAUAACUUUUUUAUCAAUUACUUUAGUAAAACUUCAUAAUACUCCCUAAAUCGAUGGAAUAACCACUAUAAAAUCACUAUUUUGUUGAAAAACGGAGACAACAAAGGCUCCAAACCUCUUUGAACAUCAUCAUACGUUACUAGAGGAUGCAACUAUGCAUUAAAACAAUAUUGUCGUAUUUUUUGAAAUUUUCUCAAAAUCUAUGUGUUAACCCCUACGAAAAUAUUGAGUUUUUGGUAAAUGUUUUAUAUACUGAAGCCUAUAAUCUUUAGUGUUGUUUUAAAAUUUCUAACCACAUUCUACAUUUGUAUUAAUGUAUUUUAAGCUCUUUUUCAUGGUAUAUGAGAAUCGUUAUAAUUUUUUUAUCAAUUAAUUUAGUAAAACUUCAUAAUACUCCCUAAAUCGAUGGAAUAACCACUAUAAAAUCACUAUUUUCUUGAAAAACGGAGACAACAAAGGCUCCAAACCUCUUUGAACAUCAUCAUAUGUUUGUGCAGGAUGCAACUAUGCAUUAAAACAAUAUUGUCGUAUUUUUUGAAAUUUUCUCAAAAUCUAUGUGUUAACACCCCUACGAAAAUAUUGAGUUUUUGGUAAAUGUUUUAUAUACUGAAGCAUAUAAUCUUUAGUGUUGUUUUAAAAUUUCGAACCACAUUCUACAUUUGUAUUAAUGUAUUCUAAGCUCUUUUUAAUGGUAGAUGGGAAUCAUUAUAACUUUUUAUCAAUUACUUUAGCAAAACUUCAUAAUACAUCUUAAAUCGAUGGAAUAACCACUAUUAAAUCACUAUUUUCUUGAAAAACGGAGACAACAAAGGCUCCAAACCUCUUUGAACAUCAUCAUAUGUUUGUGCAGGAUGCAACUAUGCAUUAAAAUAAUAUUUUCGUAUUUUUUGAAAUUUUCUCAAAAUCUAUGUGUUAACCCCUACGAAAAUAUUGAGUCUUUGGUAAAUGUUUUAUAUACUGAAGCAUAUAAUCUUUAGUGUUGUUUUAAAAAUUCGAGCCAUAUUAUACAUUUGUAUUAAUGUAUUCUAAGCUCUUUUUCAAUGUAUAUGGGAAUCGUUAUAACUUCUUUAUCAAUUAAUUUAGUAAAACUUUAUAAUACUCCAUAAAUCGAUGGACUAACCAUCAUAAAAUCGCCAUUCUCUAAAGAAAUGGAGACAACAAAGGCUCCAUACCUCUUUGAACAUCAUCAUAUGUUAGUUCAGGAUGCAACUAUGCAUUAAAACAAUAUUGUCGUAUUUUUUGAAAUUUUCUCAAAAUCUAUGUGUUAACGCCUACGAAAAAUAUUGAGUUUUUGGUAAAUGUUUUAUAUACUGAAGCCUAUAAUUUUUAAUGUUGGUUUAAAAUUUUGAACCACAUUCUACAUUUGUAUUAAUGCAUUUUAAGCUCUUUUUCAUGGUAUAUGGAAAUCGUUAUAGUUUUUUUAUCAAUUAAUUUAGUAAAACUUCAUAAUACUCCCUAAAUCGAUGGAAUAACCACUAUAAAAUCACUAUAUUCUUGAAAAACGGAGACAACAGAGGCUCCAUACCUCUUUGAACAUCAUCAUAUAUUAGUGCAGGAUGCAACUAUGCAUUAAAAAAAUAUUGUUAUAUUUUUGAAAUUUUCUCAAAAUCCAUGUGUUAAGCCCUACGAAAAUAUUAAGUUUUGGUAAAUGUUUUAUAUACUGAAGCCUAUAAUUUUUAGAGUUGUUUUAAAAUUUCGAACCACAUUCUACAUUUUGUAUUAAUUUAUUUUAAGCUCUUUUUCAUGGUAUAUUGUAAUCGUUAUAACUUUUUUAUCAAUUAAUUUAGUAAAACUUCAUAAUACUCCAUAAAUUUAUGGAAUAACCACUAUAAAAUCACUAUUUUCUUGAAAAACGGAGACAAUAAAGGCUCCAAACCUCUUUGAACAUCAUCAUAUGUUUGUGCAGGAUGCAACUAUGCAUUAAAACAAUAUUGUCGUAUUUUUUGAAUUUUUUUCAAAAUCUGUGUUACCCCCUACGAAAAUAUUGAGCAUGCCAUCAAAAGAUACAUCAAGCGCUAGACACUCCACAAACUUCAACGAAUAAACCCCACAAUUACCCCCUACGAAAAUAUUGAGUUUUUGGUAAACCUUUUAUAUACUGAAGCAUAUAAUCUUUAGUGUUGUUUUAAAAUUUCUAACCACAUUCUACAAUUGUAUUAAUGCAUUCUAAGCUCUUUUUAAUGAUAUAUAGGAAUCGUUAUAACUUUUUAUCAAUUAAUUUAACAAAACUUCAUAAUACUCCCUAAAUCAAUGGAAUAACCACUAUAAAAUCACUAUUUUCUUGAAAAACGGAAACAACAAAGGCUCCAUAACCCCUACGGAAAAUAUUGAGUUUUUGGUAAAUGUUUUAUAUACUGAAGUCUAUAAUUUUUAAUGUUGGUUUAAAAUUUUGAACCACAUUCUACAUUUGUAUUAAUGCAUUUUAAGCUCUUUUUUAUGGUAUAUGGAAAUCGUUAUAGUUUUUUUAUCAAUUAAUUUAGUAAAACUUCAUAAUACUCCCUAAAUCGAUGGAAUAACCACUAUAAAAUCGCUAUAUUCUUGAAAAACGGAGACAACAGAGGCUCCAUACCUCUUUGAACAUCAUAUGUUAGUGCAUGAUGCAACUAUGCAUUAAAACAAUAUUGUUAUAUUUUUGAAAUUUUCUUAAAAUCCAUGUGUUAACCUCUACAAAAAUAUUGAAUUUUGGUAAAUUGAUUUAUAUACUGAAGCCUAUAAUAUUUAGUGUUUUUUAAANNNNNNNNNNNNGUAACUCAGCCUCGUCUUCCUUCUUUUUCUUCUGUAACCCAGCCUCUUGUUUCUUUUGUAACUCAGCCGCUUUUCUCUUCUGUUUCUUCUCCUCGUUCUCUUUUUUCUUAGCCUCUUGCUUCUCCUUCCUCUUCAACGCAGCCUCUGCCCGCUGUGCUUUUUUCUUAUCCUCGAUAGCCUCAUCCUUUACAGUAACAGUACGCUUGGCCUUGCCCCGUAAGCCGCGUCCAUAGGCUGGAACGUUGGCAUCCUUACCAUCCUUAGCAUCCUUAGUAAUCUUUGCAGGAGAAACACUGAUGAAAUCAAUUUCAUUAAAAUCAUCACCCAAAAUCCUUCUCACCACUGUAUCCUUCUCAAGCUCCGAAUUCUUCUUUGCAGGGGUCUCAGCUAACGCUGGACUUUUGACUGACUUCUGCUGUUUCUGCUGCGCCGGCACCGGACUUUUGACAGCCUUCUCCUUCCGCUGCGGCGGCACCGGACUUUUGACAGCCUUCUCUUUCUGCUGCGGCGGCUCUGGACUUUUGACAGGCUUUUUCUGCUGCCGCGGUUCUGUCACUGGAGUUUUUACAGACUUCUCCUCCUGGGCCUGCGGUUCUACCACUGGACUUUUGUCCGACUUUUCCGGUGGCGACCUCCUACGAGGUGAUGAUGUCACCGAUAAAGAUUUUUCUACGCCGGCGGAGGAGAGUUUAGCAUCGUUGUCGGGAAUUUUCCUUUCCCCCAAAACUUUCAGACUCUGCUGCACUACAGCUUUCACCACGUUAUCUAGGGUCUUCUCGUCCAUCACUGGCCGGUUCCGGUCAAAAUCGUAAGCGUCAAAUUUUGCUGAAAUAUUCUGCAGAGCACUCACAAGAUUCGUCAGAGUCGCUUUGUCCAAUACAGCUUCCUCCUCGCUAGAACCCUUUCUCGUUUCAGCAGCUUCUUUCUUCUGCUUCUUUGUUGAUGGCUCAGCUUCUGAUGAAACUCCCUUCGUUUUCUUCUUCUUCUUCUUCUCAUUCCCCUUCCCCUGCUCAUCCCUCUGUACUUCCCAGAAACCUUUCACGUAUCUACCUGCGUGUAUGUCUUCUACCAACCUAACGAGUUGUGGGUCGUCAGGUUCAUCCGACCAUACAGGAAACAUCUCUUCAAUUGACUCCUUCAUAACCAUUCUCCUCAAACGGACCUGCAACACCAGUUUAUCAUAAACUCAGCCAUCAAAUAACACAAAACCAAGCCAUCAAAUAAAUUAAUUCGGUCACAAUAUAAAAUAAACUCAGCCAUCAAAUAGACUAAUUCGGCAACAAUAUAAAAUAAACUCAACCAUUAAGUAGCUGUUAACUCAGUCGUAUAAGUAGCAGUUAAACAUUACCUCGCCAUGAUCUUUGAUUUCGUCAGACAAGACAGUAUCAAAACUUGAACGUGUACGCCUUCCACCCCAUCGCAAAAGAGGAACGUCUUCAUUGUUGACCACUCUCCCAAACUUCUCACCGAAACAGACGAUGGACUCAUACGCCCAAACCAAUAAAACGUCCUUCAUGCCGCUUACUGUGUAUGACUUUCCAUCUGGAGACAGUGUUUUCAGAGAGUCAACAAGAACUUCGUAUGCAGUCCGACCCCAUGGAUACGACCUCAUGGCUUCAUCGUCGAAUACCCUUAUUGCACUUUGAAAGGGUAUCCUUGAAUUGUGAUGCAAACAGUACAGUCCCAUGGCUUGAAGAAAUAACAUCCCCAACCACUUACGCUUUUCAAAACUCCAACCAGGACAGAACUCUAAUGCUGCCUUCAGCUCAUCAUACUUGGGUCCCAUCCCAAGCGGCACCUUCAACUCCUCCCAAAACUCUUUGUAUUGAUCAGGUUCAAAACUUUCUGUUGGCAAUGGACCUGUGUUUAACCCAGUGAUCUCACCAAACUCGAGCAAGCUAAACCUGAUAACAUCAUCAACCACAACAGACCAUAUCUCCUUUUUAUGCACUCGCAGCUGUCUACAUAGCAGAUAGUGUACGGUCCUACCAGACCAAAUGCUUUCGCGUGAAAGUAGCCUAGCAACUACUCCAAUGGGAGAGUUCACCAGUUCUUCCCACACAUCGAGUCCUAUUGUUUCUUUAAUGUGGGGGAAAUGUCCUGCACGGAAAUUAUGAUUGAUAUCUUUACCUUCUAGGUUAGAAGGGUAAAGUCUUGGAGGGUAAUCACGUGGUUCGACUUGACUAACAUCCAUCUGAUCAUAUAACACAACAAUAAAUCAGCCACAACAUAAAAAUAACACAGCCAUAUCAUAAUAUUAAAAUAUAUUAGGUCAUAUAUAUAACUCAGCCAUAACAUAAUAAUUACUCAGUUAUAACAUAACCAUAACUCAGCCAUAACAUAAUAAUUACUCAGUUAUAACAUAACCAUAACUCAGCCACAACAAAAAGCCCUAAUUCAGACACAACAAAAGCCUAGACAAUCACAUAUCUCAGCCGCAACAUAACCCUAACUCAGACACAACAAAAUCCUCGACAAACCCAUAGCACAGUCAACAUAACCCUAACUCAGUCGCAACAAAAACCUCGACACACCCAUAUCACAGCCUCAACCAAAACACAAACAAUCUCAGUCGCAAUAUAUAACUGACCCACAAACUCAACCAAAAUACAAUAUAUAACGUCGCGACAUCUUACCGGAAAAGAUGAACUCGUUGAUGAGAAUGCGGUGAAGGCGAUUUCGUACAGACGACGGUUUCUAAAAACUCCGACGAGACAGAGUUCAACGACAGAGAGUUAUAGAGAGUUCAACGACAGAGAGUUAGAGAGAGUUCGAGGAAGUAAAGAACAAUGUCGACGAGGGUUUCGAAGGGUGAGAGGAUUUCGGUUUGCGGUUCCUUCUUCGACACAACACAGUUCUUCGUGUUCUUUUCUUCUUCUUUUUUUGACAAAACCGUAUGUAUGAUAGUGAUAGUGAUAGAGACGGUUUGGUUUCAGAAAAUAACUGAUUUGAUGUGGAUUUUUAAUAACUGAUGUGGCUUUGAUCUUUAAAAUUAGUUUCAGAAAAUAAAACAUAACAAAAGCCCCUUAUUGUAAAUUACUAGGAAAGAGAAAACAUUCUAGUAAUAAAACAAAGAUGUACAACAUUCUAGUAAUAAACCAUAAAAUGUGUAACAUUCUAGUAAUUUUCUCUUGGGAAGGUUGUGUAGACUUUUUUAAACAGAUGGGAGUGUCUUUAUUUUUCUUGCUUAUAGAAUUACUUACACCUAAUAUAUUAGUUGUGAAGAUUUAUAAAAUUUGGAAAGCAGUUUCUUAAUGUUAAAGUGUGUUAAUCAUGUUGUAGCAAUCUAUAAUAUAUUUUUUUUCUAUAAGCAUUGGAAGAAUCGCAAAAAAUAGAGCAAAAAUCAACUAUUUAAAAACAACUAUUCUUCAGGUAAGCAUUUGUAAUUCGUUUUAAACGCGGCUACUCGUUCAGACUAAGCAUUCCUUUCAGGCUGAUUAACCGCCAAAGAUAAAUUAAUAUUCCAAAAACAGAGAUAAAAUAUUUGAGGAGAAGAGAAUCAUAAAAGAAAAAGAUCCGAAGUUUAUAAUUAGAAACAAAGCUAUUAGCAGUUUUAAAAAAACAUAGAUAUGACUGAUGACGGGCUGAUAGGAAUAGAUAUUACCAAUUACUCACGUAAUUUUAGGGUUAAUCGUUUGUAUAUAUUUUGUAAGUGAAGUUGUCAUGGUCUGUACUCUUUUUUAAAGGUACGACUUUUAAACAAUGGGAAUGACGAGUUUCUACUUUUCAAAAACGACAACUUAUCAAGUAACCAUUUAUAAAUUGUUCUAAAAAAAAGCGGCAAUCGUUCGUCUUAACCACUCCUUUUUUGAAGAUUAAACAGACGAAUUCCUUUAUUUGGAAUAAAAUUCUAAAUUUAAAAUAACACAUCACUGGCAAAUUUUCAAGAGAAAAAGACUAGAAUAGCACUAAACCAAGUUUAUAUUCACAAAGUACCACUCAAGGCUUAAAGUCACAAAAAUAGGUUUCAUUAAAGAGGUAAAUAUACACUUAUACCCCUUGGGUUAAUUAAUCCAAACCUUAGGGUUUAGAGUUAAGGGGUGGGGUUUUGGAAUUAGGGUUUAAAAUUUUAUAAAAAAAAAUACUAAAAUAAAAAAUAAAAAUUUUAAAAACAGUUUCAAAAAGUAUUUUUAAAUUAUAAAAAAAAAAUUUGAAAAAAAAAAUUAAAGAAAAAAUUUGAAAAAAAAAAUUAUAAAAAUUUCGAAUCUGAAAAUAUAUAAUCUGAAACUAUAAAAAAAAAUAUUUUUUUCAUUUUAUUUAUUUUUAUUUAUUUUUGUUUGUUUAUUUAAUUUUAAACCAAGGGUAUUAGGGAUAUUUUACCCUUUAAUGAAUGUCAUUUUUGUGACUUUUUCAUUCUAGUGCUAUUUUUGAGACAUAAACUUCAAAAGGUGCUAUUAUUGACAAUUGCCCAAUUUUCAAUGAGGUGGAACCCGUCAAAGAUUAAUUGAUCAUCCAAAGCGGAGAUAAAAUCCCCGAACAGAAGAAAACAUGCAAAGGAAAAACAUCCAGAGUUUAUAAUGGGAAACAAAGAUAGUAGAAGUUUUUUUAAAAAGGCAUAGAAAAGACAGUUGACGGGCUGAUACGAAUAGAUACUCCAACUACUCACGGGGGAGCUUGCGUUUGUUCUCAGCACCUGAAACCUCUGGAGGGUCUGCUGCAGUACAUUCCUCACCGAACUUGUCUCCCAAAACAGUAGGGCCCCGAAGACAAAGCUGCCAAUCCUACGUUCCCUUUGCUGCCUGGAAGAAUGUUCUCACCGUCCUGCUGAGACAAAUGAUCGCAGUUGAAUUCAAAUAAGAAGAAGAAAAAGAGUGGCCCGAGUUGAAAGCAUGUUUAUAUAAACGUCAAUGACAUUGGUUUUCUAUCAUGUAAGAUCAGAUCAUACAAAGUGUUGUAUUAUUAAUUUGUCUUAAAACGCUCAGACUUUCAUCUUUGUUUAUGAAAUUUCGUAAGAGAGAAUCAAUGGCAUUGGUCUUUGAAUAAAAAGUGUUAUAGAAUUUUGCUACCCGUUAGGUGAUAUUUUGUUCAAAGUCUAAAGCUAUACCAAGAUGCUUCACAACUUGAGAUUACAACAAAAUUUGAAAGAAAAGUGCUGUUCGUUUCAUUGACGCGGGUUCCUGCGGCUGCGGCUGCGGCUGAGUCUGCGGCUGCGGCUGCGGCCAUUUGUUUGGUUGUUGUUCGUUUUGUAGCCGCAGACUCAGCCGCAGCUGCAGGUCGUUUCGUAAACGCAGGACAUUGUCGCAGCUGCAGACGCAUAAAGUAGAUUUAGUUAUGUUCAUUUAGUUGCCACAGACGCAAUUUUCAUUUAUUUUAUAUUUUAAUUUUAUAAAUUUUUAAAAUUAUAUUUUAAGUAAAUAAAAUAUUAUAAAAUUGUAAAAUAUUGUAAAAUUUCAUAUUUUAAUUUUAUGAAUUUGUAAAAUUGUAAAAUUGUAGAUUUAACAACAUUUUUUUAUCAUAAACAAAAGCUAAAUAAUACAUCAAGUCUUAAAUAAAUAAAACAAAUAUUUCAAAUAUCACAUAGAACUGAUAAUCAAAGUUAUAAGCAAAAAAAAAAAGUCAAUAACUUGAGAAGAGCACUCAAAACUUCAUCAAGCUUCCUUUGGACCGUAUCCACUGAUCUUUGAUACCUUGCAGCAAUAUCCCGCUUCGUCUUAUCUUGACCAACAGUCUCAAGAAACAUCGCCACAGAUUCUUCAAGGUAGACAUGGUGAGUUUCUUUCAAUCCAUAUCGCUCAGCUAGCAUCUUGCACAAAGCUUCAGAAAAAAAAAGAGUCAUUAACUAAAACAUUUAAUACGGUAAACGACCUCUACCUUUAUAUGCUUCUGCAUUUUGACUUGGAGGGCGAACCAGCACAUGAGUUCCAUCGAGUGCUCCAACACAAUCUCUGAAAUGAGGCCAAUACCGAUCAUCAUUCCUCAAAACAGGACUCACUCUUCCAAACUCGCCUUCUUGUGGUCUUAAUGUAUCCUGUGCAAACUUGAGAAGAGCACUCAAAACUUCAUCAAGCUUCCUUUGGACCGUAUCCACUGAUCUUUGAUACCUUGCAGCAAUAUCCCGCUUCGUCUUAUCUUGACCAACAGUCUCGAGAAACAUCGCCACAGAUUCUUCAAGGUAGACAUGGUGAGUUUCUUUCAAUCCAUAUCGCUCAGCUAGCAUCUUGCACAAAGCUUCAAAAGUCCUUUGAUUCAUUCGAAGAAUGUCAUAACAUUGCUGAUCAGAUUCAUACAUAAGUUGUUGAACAUGUCGCCAUCCUGCUCCUCGAUCUGUUCUAUGACUCAAUCUCUCGGUAAUAGGCACAUCAAACAAACCAAGUUCAUCAUCAUAAUCACCAUCCUCAUCUUCCAAAAUCCAUCUUUCAAGCAUCUACAACACAAUAUUAAAUAAAUCAUCAUUAAAAUGGAUAGUAUUAUAAACAAACAAAACAGCCAUAAGCUCAAGUUCUAAUUAAUUAUUAUAGACCAAUCACACAGACCUAGUGUAAAACUACACACGGCAUAUAUAAUUAUUAUAGACCAAUCACACAAACACGGAGAAACGUAAUGAGUUUAUAAGACCAAGCACACAUAAUGAGUUUAUAAGACCAAACACACAUUAGACCAAACGUAAUGAGUUUAUUACCAGAUUUUUCAUGACAAACGUAAUGCAGUAACAAAAGGCAUUUCACAGACAUAAGAAAAGUAAACAUUUUGUUACCAGAUUCAAAACCAAGUCUACUAAACCAGCAUAUACAAAAGGCAGUUUCAUACAAAGAUCAGACCAAAAGCAAAAGUUCCAUACUAGUCCUAAGUUCCAUAAUAGUCCUAAGCUUCAUAGUCACGUUUUAUCUUGGUCCUAAGCUCUAGAAACUUAGUCUUAGCUUCAUCUGUCUUCAUUGUUAUAAAAGCCCUUCUGCUCCCUUCACUGUCUAUAAGAUGUUCCAUUGCUGCUUCAUAUAAUGGAGACCACUCUCUCACUCCAGGCAAUGUGUACAGAAUCUCUAACACAUUCUCAACACUAGAAGCUUCUUGACGCUCCAUUGAAGCUUCUUGACGCUCCAACAUCCGUUCUGCUAUCUUGUUCUUCACCAUAAGCGCUUCAGUACGUUUGUCACAAGCUUCUACAACCAUAUCCUUCUCCUUAUGCCUUCUUUUUCCUCUCGAACUUCCAGAAUGAGUCUGAGUUUGGCGCUGGGUUUGUGUCUGCAGCUGCGGCUGAGUUUCUGUCUCUGCUGCUGCUUGAGUUUCUGCUGCUGGCUGAGAAUCGACUUCAUCACCAUCAUCUAGACCCACUCCAGAGUUUAAGCUUGCUUCUCCAUGUUGAGCACUCCAUCCUUCUGCUCCAGUUACUACUACAGCACCAAAUUCUUCUUCAAACAUAUCCAUAUUAAAUUCUUCUUUCCAUACAGAUCUUCUAAUCCCAGGACACUCCUAUAUAACAAAAAAAAAUAAAGAGUAAGUUAAUGAGGAAUCAUGAAGCAAAUAUAAGCAAAUGAAGCAAUCAUGAAGCAAAUAUAAAAAAAAAAUACACAGAAGAGAUAAGAGAAACUGACCUUUUCGCGCUCACUCCACCAAUCAUCUGACAUAUCAACCCUUCCCAUGCUGUCAAACCCAAGACCUGUCUUAUUCUUAAUCAACUUCCUAAAUUUGACGUACUUCUUUCUACUUGUGUCGUACUUGUUCUUCAACAAAGGCCACUCAAGAAAUCCUUUCUUAAACCUCUUUUCGAACACGUCUAUGAUGUUCUGUUUCCCUACUUUAUUCAUUGAUGUCGUUCUAUUUCCUUUUCUUCUCUCUUCCGCGUAGAGUUCGAAAAAAUACCUAACUUCUUCAGGAGUCCAAGUCUAAAUCACAGAAACACAUAAACUCAAGUUCUAUACUGACCUAAAGACAGUUCAGUUCCAUACACUACUUAAGUUCUAUACUGACCUAAAGCAAUACAGUUUCAUACAUAUAACAAGAAAGACUAGUGUGAGAGAGCCUUACCUCUUUUGCCAUCUUAAAAAGUGAGAGGAAUGCACUUGAGAUGAGAGAGCCUGCAAAAAAGACAGACAAGCUCAGAUUGAUUAGUGAAACGUAUAAACACUAAUAGUCAGAACAUCAAAUAAACGCUAGCAAACGCUAAUACUUGUCGAUCACAACAGUGAAAAAAAAAACUAAAUGGGUUUGUAACUAAGAGAAACCGAGUAACCCAUCAGAGAAACCCAUCAGAGAUCGAAUACAAACCCAUAACACAAACCCAUCAGAGAUCUCAUACAAACCCAUAACACAAACCCAUAACACAAACCCAUAAAGGACAAACAAAGACAAGAAGAUGUACAAUUCUUACAAGAGAGAGAGAGCUGGGGAGGGAGAAGAGAGAGAGCUGGAGAGAAACAGGGACAGUCUGAGAAAAAAAAUCAAAAAUCAGUUCAAAAGUUCUAUUCUUUACUAAGCAAGUAAGAACAUUUCAAGUAAACAGAGAACUAAGGAAACAAAACUUACUAAAGAGGGUCUGAGCUUGAGAGAGUGAGCUUGAGAGGGUCUGAGCUUGGAGAGGGUUUGAACUUGAGAGACCUGCGACCUGCAAAAAAAAAAUAACAGACCUUUAGAAGCUGGCAAAGGACGUAUUGUGUAGUCACAGAACAUAACUAAUCAAUCAAAAACAUCAUACCUUGAGAGAGUGAGCUUGAGAGGGUCUGAGAGAGAGAGCUCGGAGAAGAGAGAGCUUGUGAGAGAGAGAGCUCCGAGAGAGAGCUCCGGGAAGAGAGAGCUCCGGGAAGAGAGAGCUUGUGAGAGAGAGAGCUCCUGUAAACAACAGAGCCCAUUCAAACAAAUACUCAAACAACAGAGUAAACUAAGACCAAACUCGUACAACAUCAAUCAAUACGCAGAGAUGGAAGUAAUGAAAUAAAGUAGAGAGUCUAAUCAUUUGGUGAAGAGAGACAGUUACCUCGGAGAAGAGAAGAGCUCCGGAAAGAGAGAGCUUGUGAGAGAGAGAGCUCCGGGAAGAGAGAGCUCGAAGAGAGAGCUCGGAUUUACACAAACCUAAGCAUCAACAAAGAAACCCAUAAAGUAUCAGCAUCAACAAAGAAACCCAUAAAGCAUAAGCAUCAUCAGCAUCUGUCGGUGAAGAGAGACAGUUACCUCGGAGAAGAGAAGAGCUCCGGGAAGAGAGAGCUUGUGAGAGAGAGAGCUCCGGGAAGAGAGAGCUUGUGAGAGAGAGAGCUCCGGGAAGAGAGAGCUUGUGAGAGAGAGAGAGAUCUCUGGGUUUUCCUCGGAGAUCGAGAGAGCGAGAUCUAUGGGUUUUUCGUCGGAGAUCGAGAGUGCUGGAGAUGCGUCGGAUCGAGAGAGAGCUGGAGAUGCAUCAGAUCGAGUGAGAGCUUCGAGGUCUGCUCAAGCAAGUUGCGUCGAUGAGAGAACAGAGCUGCGUCUGCGGCUAUUAGGGUUAGGUUCUUUGGUAAAUAAUGAAUUAUGUUAAGGGCAGAAAUGUAAUUAAGUUGAGUAGACGCAGAAUUUGAGCCGAGAUCGCUGAUUUUAUCUGCGUUCAGACGCAGAGGUCGCGUUCGGCCGCAGACGCUGACGCAGGCUCCCGCGGCGACGAAACGAACACGCGUUCAUGGAAAAUAUAGCCGUAGCCGCAAGACUCGCGGCGAUGAAACGAACAGCACUAAAGUAAAAUUUUACGUACGGUUCAAUUAAGAGGCAGACUACAACUCUGGUGGUUGCUGCAUUGUUCUUGAGAUCGGACCCCUGCACAGAGGGUAUUUCACCCACAACAUCUGCGAUUGGAGAACUAUGUUAGCGACAGGGUAUCAUGAUGAAAUUAAAAGGAGAAAGAAUUUUCACCUGCGAGCUCUAGGUUGGUGUUCGCAAGCACUUGGAGGUAGUCGUAAGCCGCACCAAGAAUUUGUCAAACUUGAUCAGAGGAGAAUCUGUCUGGACCUCACAAAUACGCAUUGAAGGGGUGAAACGGAUCACGUACUGACGCUUCAGAACGGUCCAGUUUCACAAUAGAAUCGGGUUUCAAAUUAGGCCGGUAGUGGCUCGCCCCAUUAGCUGGAAUGAACCCGUGAAUCACCAAGUCCUGCAGGAAAUAAAAGAAGAUCAACUAUUUGUUGGUUUUCAUAGAAACCGAAAGAUGUAUUCAUAAUUUUUUUUUUUUAAACGGAGACCAAGGGAGUAGAUUCGACACAAUUCGCACCAAUUCAUCGAGGAGGAAAAUCGUCAUCCCCAUGAACUCUCCAUUCUUGUUGAUGUUCCGGGAAUCCCAAAAGCGGAUGAGGCGGCCAACGACGGAGUCCAAAAGUGGAGUAGGUGACGGCUGCGUUAGCGACUGGAGCAGAUGAUGAAGCCAUUUUCGGAACAGAGAUUAGAGACAUAAACGAAGGGAAAAAGUGGAGCAGAAACGUUUAGAGGUAAAUGAGAGCUUACCUUCGAGGGCCUCUAUAUAAAUAAGGCUAGAGAAUCCGUUACAGGGAGAGGAAUCGAUACGCCGGUAGAGAACGUGGAGGAGUCGAAGAGAUCAAGUAACAGAAAGGAGCUUUCGAAAUAAUGGAGCGCCUCAGUAGACGAACAAUCCCGAAGAUGAAGAAGGUAGCCCUGAGAGUUAACGGGCCAGUUGUUCAAAAAAAAAAGUUAACGGGCCAGUGUUGCGAAGUCCAUCAAGAGAACAAAGAUUAUAAACUUUAAAUAAAAGUCCACGCGAGAUUAUAAACUUUCUGCGCCUCAUGUUGUGAAACCCAUAAACAAAUAGAACAAAGAUUAAACAGAAGCCCACACGAUUGAGGAAAUAAAAAAAAUAAUGUAGACCCCACAAAAACACUGAGGUGUCACUUCAGGAAAGACUCAACUCUCCUAUUAUAUUAUGAGUGUUUUACACUAUAGGACAGUUUCCAAGAUUUUAUUACAUCAUAAGGCAGUUUCAGCUACUAAGGUAGUUUAUUUUGGUUGUUUACCUUGAUGUCCUCAACUAAGACUAAACCAAAGUUACAUUUUCUAACCAGUGGGACCUAUCAUUUUCUCUCUCCUAACUUUCUUCUCCAUUAAUCUCGUUCUUUCUUUCUCUUCUAACAGAAAAUUGAUUUUAGAAACUCAUUCUUCAACCCCUCCAAAACAUAAAUCUUAGAUCUUUUGAUUUCUUUUUCAUCGGUUUUCUUCUCCUAACCUAGAUAAGUCAAUUAUAAAAAGAGUGAAAAAUCCAGCAAAUUAUGAGUCAUGCAGUUCCGCUAGAAUUUCCGUCCAAUCCUUAGAUUCUUAAAACCCAUUACCAUCUCUAAGGUGAAUCACAUAUUUGUCUCCUCUGCUUUUCAUGUCUCUGGUUCUUUUUUUGGUCAACUAUCUCUCUAGUUCUUUCUGAUUGAUGAAUCAUACUCCUUUCUUCCUAAGUAAUUAAAGGUGAUUCAUUUAUCUUAACUUCACAUAGCUAUUUCAAAAUUAACUAUUCGUUGAUUUGGAUAUUAAAACUUGUUUUUUCUGGGUUUUGGGUUCAUAACUGUGGCUUUCUGAUUGAUGAAUCAUGCUUUUUUCUUCCUAUGUAGAUUUAGUGUACAUGUAAACAUCAUAACUGUGGACAACAUAUGAAUUUCAUGUACAUGUGUACAACAUAGGUUAGUAGACACCGAAACAAAAUAACCCAAAAAUAUGUCCACAUAUAUGUAGAUUUGGUGUACAUGCAAACAUCAUAACCGUGGACAACAUGUACAUGUGUACAACCUACCUUCAUGGACACCGAAACCAAAAUUAUUUCUUUCUAUAUUUAGAAAACCAUUUAAAAUGUAGCUAUAUACUAAAGCACAUAUUUAAUUGAUGGAGUGUGAUGGAUACACUGAUACUAAAUAAGGUCAUGGGGUUGCGUGAUGUGUACAUAUGAGGCUAUACAACUUGGUUGUGUACACAAUCUGAGGUGUACAUGUGUACAUGUAAGUGAAUCAAAAGAAUAGUAGUUGUAUGUGAGAUAUGAACAAUACAUCAAUGUUUGUGGUAGAGUUUGUACACAUGUGGGUGAAAUGAUAAAUUUUUGUAGGAGAUGCUUUAUAAUUUGAGAAGUCUUUGUUUAUACAUGUAUCAAACUAUCAAUGUAUCAAGGUAUUUACAUGUGUGAAGCUAUACAUGUAUCAAGGUAUAUACAUGUACAUCACAAUUCAUUUCAAAACACUAGAGUGCAAUAUCCACAUGUCCACCAAGAUACCAUAUCCACAUGUACAUCAGAUUUCGAUGUCCACAUGUACACCAGAGUUCGAUAUCAGAUGACGAAGAAAAGUGGUUGAGAUGAUGAAUAAUGAUAGCUGAGAUGGUAGAGAACGGUGGGUGAAACACAACAGAUAACAAAGCAUAAUACCACACAUGAGGAAGGUGCAUGACGUUAAUUAUAUCUCCACCGUUGGAUGAUGGGUCUUCCACUCCACCAUCGUCUACGUUUACACUGUAGCUACGUAAAGUUGAUUAUGUCUCUAUCAAUGAUGUUGUUAUUAUAUAAUGCCAAUAUUACACCGUCAUCAAAAGAUACGUCUUGAUAUAUCUUAAAAGAUAGAUUAAGAAACAUAUACAAUAAUUAUAUUGCAAGUUUUUUUGAAAAAAUAAUACGAAGAAUCAGAUUUUAGUUUAGAAAAAAAUAGAAAGUUUGGAAGGAGAGGGAGAGAGAGAGAGGGAGAGAGGGAGAGAGAGAGAGAGAGAGAGAGAGAGAGAGAGAGAGAGAGAGAGAGAGAAAAUAAUAACAAAGUUAUUAUUUUAUUAUUUAGUUAGACUUUAGUUAGAUUUCAAUUGAUUCAUUAAUUGGAAAGAGUAAAAGGUGUGUUGGAAGAAGAAAAAGUGUCUAAGGAGCAUAAACUUUCUUAUAUUGUUAUUGAAAAUUUAAAACUGUCUUACGGUGUAAUUAUUUCUUAUAUUAUAGAUUUAAAGUUUUAAAAAUGUGAUCAUAUUUAAUUUGAGUUGAAGUUAAAAGUGGAUCAUAUGUUGUUUCAGUUUUCUUCAUUUACUCCAUAACACUGAUCAAAUGUUG